AAACCAGCUCCAGCAGCGCAGUGCAGGAUCUAGCUGUACCCUCUCUGCCUGCUUGCAGGUCCUUCUCCUGGAAGUGCAGCAAAGGGAGCAUCAAGGUGAGAAGCAACAAUGUGCAAGCACUGCAUUUCCUGCCCUGCCCAGCCCAGCAUCUCCCUCCUGCCCCAGGGCUUGCACAGCUCACAUGGGGACUCACAGAGAAUUGUGUGUGCCUCACACUGCUGCGAGUGGACAGCCCCUCCUCUGCUGGGCAAAGGAGUAAUCCUGGGUAGCACGUCUGCUUGCUGCUACCCCUUCAUCCUAAAUCAUUUGAAAAAGAUGAUGUCAGUAAGAUGAAAACUCAGAUUUGAGAAUUAUGUUUCCAUGCCAAACCCGCAGUCCCCGGCAGGGUCCUGAGAAGCACCCCUGAGCUGUACUAAUUCUUCAUGAAUUACUCGCUCUUCCGGGCCAGAGACAACCCCCUGCACGUUCUGGUUCACAUGUGAAUUUCUGGGUAUGACUGUGCUGUGAUGAGUGUUCUGUCUGAACAGAUACCUGACUGAUUCCUUAACAGAUUCUGCAGCACUGGGUUUUUCAGAGGCUGAGGGGAGAUGCCUUCCAAGUUAGACAGUGUUUAACUCAAUCUGUGAAGUCAGCCAUGGGGAAUCCAGGCUGCACUGGAAACCCAGCUCUUUGGCAUUAAAUCACAGAGAUAUUUUAAUGUGAAACUGGGAAUGUUGUGCAACUCUGCAGAGAGCAGAGUCCAGAACAAACUCCAGGUUUAAAUUUUCUCACUGUUUUUCUGCAAUUUAGUGAUUUGUUUGUUCUAUAUCCAUGACUACAUGGCUGCAGACAUUAUCAUCAAAUGUGGCUUGUAUGAAAUACAUGGCAAUAAUUCGAGGCUCCUCAGCCUCCUGGGCUGUGGAUGCCAAUCCUCUGGCUAGGGUGUCCUGCUCUCUAGAGCGGCCCCUCCAGCGUGCCUCACUCUGGGCUGGAGGGAAUCCCUUCAGCAGGGACAGGGAUUUGACUGAGCUGCCAAACAGUGAAGCCAGAGAAUCAAUGCUUGUAAUUUUGGAAUUCUGAAAUGUGAUGAUCUUCAAACUCAUUUCACAGUGGGAGAAGACAACCCUUUGUUGGAAUGAAUCCAACUUUAGCACUGACGUGGGUCACUCACCCAAAUUCCUGCCGGUAAGAUUUUGGGGUGGAGGGUAUGGGACUCCCUCCACAGCUCUGAACCCAUCCCCUCUGUGCAGUCAUUGCUGCUGUGGUGGGCCUUGGCAUCCAGCUCUGCUUCUGAUGUGUCAGGUGAGCUGUGUGUGAGGGCUGUGAUACACAGCCUCAGGGGACCAGCAGCGCGUGGUGUGUGGCUGCUGCAUGGGGAUGACAGGAUUUAAUCUGUUCAAUAGUUGUGCCUGAUUUUGUGGGGUAAAUCAGUAGGUGGAAGUGAGCAGUAGGGAGGUGCCAGUUGUCCCAAAUUCUUGGUUUUCCUUACCCGGCGAUUUCCCAGUGUUUCAUGUCUUAGGGGAGCGUGGAGGGGUCAGUCACUUUCUCUGCUGACCCGGCUCUUCUUUUUUGACCUGGAUGAGCUGUGAACUGGAGCUGUUUUGGAUAAGAAGUGACAGCUGAGGGAAGAGGGAGCAACAACUCAUCCUGUGUACCAACCUGAACCACACUCACACAGCAACCCGUUUGUGGAUUAGUGGGAUUCAGUUUAGUGUGAAAUAUGUCAAAACAAAGAUCUUGCGGUGUUGGUAAUGAGUUUUUGUCGCAGUUUUGAAGCAUUUGCAGGAGUGUUUCAUGCUGCUCCCCCAUGGUCUUGCUCAAGUUGAUUAUGAAACUGUGACCUUGUGGGUGGUUUGCUCAGGAAAUGGGGCUCCCUCUGCUCUGGCCCAGCUCCUGUGCAUGCAGCAGCUUCCCCGUGAGGCUGCAGCAGGCUCUGCUGCUGGUGUCAGCUCAAUUUCCUCCUCCUAAGAGCACGCCAAGGCCUAGAUCUCAAACACUGGCAAUGAAACAGCUCUUGGAGGAACCUAGAGCAGGAGUGCAAGAGGGCACGGGAGGGAGGCCAAGACUACAGAAACAAGAGGCAGUAACUGCUCGGAUGGUGCUUGGGCAGGACUGCAGCUUCCAGCACUGCUUCCCUCAGUCCAGCAGAAAGGAACGGGCUCUCGGUGCUGGACACCACCAUCCGCCUUUUUCUGUAAAUAUUUCUGGGCUCUCUGCACGUCUGCCUGGGGAGAAACUAGCCAUACUGCAGACAGAAAGAGAAGCAGAUCUGGGAGCUGCUGGAUCCAGCUGCAUUCCUGCAGGGCAGGGCUUUGGAGCAGGAGCCCCACAGCAGAGGGCCAUGUCCUUGCUGGAGAGAAGCUGUGAGAGCUGGCAGGUAUCUCAGCUCUGCAGAGCUGCACAGCAGUGCCACGGAGCCUCUGGAGUCCCUGCAGAGCCUCUGGAGUCCUGCUGCAGGAGAAAGGGGACGUGAAUUAUUGACCAGUGUAAAGCUGAAUUCUACUGGUACCACAAGGGCUUAAGAUGGCAGCAGUGGAAAAGGCUGGGAUCAAGGUGGGUGUGUAUUUUAGAACACCCUUUCUCUUCUCUGAAUAUUCAUGGCCUCAAGGAUACUACACAUGUAUUUUUGGAAGAUACCUUGCUACUUACAACUGAGCUGUUGGUGACCUGAAUAAAAUAAAAAUCAAAAGCAAACUUCUGGGAUGCUUUACUUGAAAAACAACAUGCAUUUCCACAUACAGAAAUCUUUGGCUGCAGUUA
Molecule: long non-coding RNA, 2739 nt
Organism: Passer domesticus (house sparrow)
Lineage: Eukaryota; Metazoa; Chordata; Aves; Passeriformes; Passeridae
Exons: 3
Source: RefSeq, a predicted model, not a curated record